This is a long non-coding RNA of Mytilus californianus (California mussel), 573 nucleotides long. RefSeq lists it as uncharacterized. The transcript has 2 exons. NCBI's taxonomy places the organism in Eukaryota, Metazoa, Mollusca, Bivalvia, Mytilida, Mytilidae. The record is from RefSeq and is a predicted model, not a curated record.
UGCCCCUUUCUAAAUGAAAAAAAUUGUGUAAAAUUUUAAUUUUUUUUCUAAAUAUUUCUUCUAUAUAUUUUAAGUAAUUUUUAUACGACUGCAAAAAAAAUUUGUGGUCGUAUAUUGGUAUGACGUUGGCGUCGGUGUCGUCUGGUUUUCGCACUCUAACUUAAGUUUAAGUGAAUGGAUCUCUAUGAAAUUUUACCAUAAGGUUCAAUACCACAAAAGGAAGGUUGGGAUUGAUUUUGGGGGUUAUGGUACCAAAAGUUAAGGAAUGAGGGGCCAAAAAUAAGCAUUUUUGUAACUUCCAGACAUAACUUGUGUGUUAGUGUAUGGAUCUCUCUGACAUUGUACUACAAGGUUCCAUAUCACAAAGAAAAUGCUGGGAUUGAUUUUGGGGGUAAUUGCCUCCAAAUUUUAGGAAUUAGGGGCCAAAAAGGGGCAAAAAACAAGCAUUUUUCUAGUUUCAUGACAAUAACUUGUGUGCAAGUGUAUGGAUCUUUCUGAAAAUGUACUACAAGGUUCCAUAUCACAAAGGGAAAGCUGGAAUUGAGUUUGGGGGUAAUUGCCCUAAACGUUUAG